GCUCCAGCUUCGGUGUUGGCGGUACACUCCCAGGCCUCGCCCGGCUCCCUGCCUCCUGGAAGGUAUUUCAUAAGCCUUGCCCCGUGGGUGAGACCUACCGCCGCCGAGGCGCUAUCCCAGGACAGGCUGGAGUCCAGAAGUGAACCUUGCCCACGGACAAGCCAGAGAGGCUCAGAAUGCUAUUGUCAUCUCGCCGGGGAGGCCGGCAGGUGGGGAACCGGUCCCUGGGCACAGAUCUGGCCGGGAACAGCCGUGGAGGCUGGAAGGCGCGAGUGCAGACCCCAGCUUACAGACCCUGUAGAGACGGGGGGCUCCACCCCUUGUGCCCUCGCGCUGGGAUCAGCCCCCUCCUCUUCAUCCGGUAAAGCUGAGUAGGUGUUCAGUCCGUGAGGAGGAAGGGAGGAUGACAGAAGGGAUGGAUUUGUACCCUGGAGAGCUGCCGCGAAACCUGUGACUAGACAAUGCCUCCCGACAAGGGUUGUUCGUCUGUGACCCAGAGCGUUACAACAGAAGGCUGUGAAGGACUGAGGGAAGACUGGCCUCCUAUCAGGGGUUCACAGGGAGACCAUCAGAGUUCCUCCAGUCCCCGGGACCCUCCCAGGACGCAGUGAGACCCUCUCUGAAGACAGUGUCUCAGUCCCAGAUCUUCUUUCCUGAACCACAUCCUCCAGGAUCUUGGGUCCUGGGCUGUCUUGAGGAGGGGGUUGUGUACCUGGCUUUGUGUGCUGUGGAGCAGACAGGCUUUUACGGCUGUAAGCUAUGUGCAGUACAUGGCCCUGGCUUGUGACAAAUCUUGUCCUUCCUUCAACCUCGGUCCUUUUCACACUUCCUUCCUGCGGACAGCACCCCAGGCCCUUAGAGACCAGGCAACUGGACAGACACCAAGCCAGGAGGCCUGGGAGGUAAGUGGGAGAUGAGAAUGGAGCCUUCCACAUUAGACCUCCCCAUGGCACUCAUGGCUCCACACCCCAGCCCUGUGGAACACAGAAGAACAACCCCAUGGUUCCCCACGUUCUCUGAGCCCCACAUAAUUAGCCCCAGGGUCCUAUGGGAGACUUUGGCCAGGGGUUCCAGUUGAGGCGGCCUCUGCUUGGCAGGCUGUAUCUCCAUUUUGUUUCUUUCAGAACUCUGUUCCAGCCCCACAAGAAGAGGGAGAGUUAAAAAAACAAAUCAACCAAACAAACAAACAAAUAAAAAGCAAAAAACCA
This is a long non-coding RNA of Meriones unguiculatus (Mongolian gerbil), 1208 nucleotides long. RefSeq lists it as uncharacterized. NCBI's taxonomy places the organism in Eukaryota, Metazoa, Chordata, Mammalia, Rodentia, Muridae. The record is from RefSeq and is a predicted model, not a curated record. The transcript is spliced from 3 exons.